This 460-nucleotide ribosomal RNA is filed under the name uncultured bacterium. RNAcentral's name for it is "partial 16S ribosomal RNA". It matches the Rfam family "Bacterial small subunit ribosomal RNA", at positions 338 to 795 of the family's 1533-position model. The record is from RNAcentral.
CCUACGGGUGGCAGCAGUGAGGAAUAUUGGUCAAUGGACGAGAGUCUGAACCAGCCAAGUAGCGUGAAGGAUGACUGCCCUAUGGGUUGUAAACUUCUUUUAUAAAGGAAUAAAACGAGGCACGUGUGCCUUUUUGCAUGUACUUUAUGAAUAAGGAUCGGCUAACUCCGUGCCAGCAGCCGCGGUAAUACGGAGGAUCCGAGCGUUAUCCGGAUUUAUUGGGUUUAAAGGGAGCGUAGAUGGGUUGUUAAGUUAGUUGUGAAAGUUUGCGGCUCAACCGUAAAAUUGCAAUUGAUACUGGCAGUCGUGAGUACAGUUGAGGUAAGCGGAAUUCGUGGUGUAGCGGUGAAAUGCUUAGAUAUCACGAAGAACCCCGAUUGCGAAGGCAGCUUACUAAACUGUGACUGACAUUGAUGCUCGAAAGUGUGGGUAUCAAACAGGAUUAGAUACCCUUGUAGUC